RNAcentral lists this long non-coding RNA (2737 nucleotides) under Olea europaea subsp. europaea. Lineage: Eukaryota; Viridiplantae; Streptophyta; Magnoliopsida; Lamiales; Oleaceae. The record is from RNAcentral.
UUUCUGAUGGUCAUUUUUUUUGGGUUGGGAUACAGGAAGAGUUUGCAGACAACAAAAUUUCUGAAGCUGAUAGACAAAAGUUAAAGAUGCAGAAUUCGACCAAGAUGAAACAAGGUAUUUGUAAUUUUUUGAAUAGUAUCAAAGAGUUGAAGGAGUCAAGGAAUGUAAAGUCGUGGUUCACAGUCCAUCCUUUAUUACUAGAAGAAGGGGCUUGGAUGUAAAGUUAUGUUGGCAAUGUGGUCCUAUUCAACUGAACCAUGUGGAAUUCUCAUGCAUUCACCAUUAACUAGGUUUUUUGGGGGGUAGUUGACACAGACUCAUUUUCUCUUGAUCUUCUUUUCUCGCAAUAUUGUCUGAUUAGGUUUUUCAGUCUUCUUUGAAGUUACCGUUGAUAUCUCGUUUCUUAGAGAUUUUCUGGUCUAUGUUGUUUGGUCUAACUGAUGACUUAAUGGCUUAGUCCCUAGUGUUUGGACGGAAUGAGUGCUGUAUAUUCUUGAGAGGUUUGAGAGGGUUACUAUGUUGUAUCAUUGUGAAUAUUUGUUAACUUCGUGACCAUUUCUGGUGUUCUGUGUUAUGAUUUCUGCAGUGCUUGUGAAAAUUUACCGAUUUCGUGGUGCUUGGAUUCUAUACAGUAGGAUUAAUCGAUUUAAGGUAAAGCUCAUUGUGCAGGCAGUCGCAGGCAUCUGGAGAGAGGUGGAGGUGCAAGCUCUUUAAAUUCUGGACGAAACCUUGAAACAAGGCAACACAAGUUGGGUAUAAAGAAUGGCAAAGACAUCCUAAAAAAGAGAGAGAGUAGCAUUUCGUAUAACACUUCCAGGCAAUCAGCAAGCAUUUCUUCUUUAGGUGAUAGCAGAGAAAAGGUAUCAAUCAUCACAACUGUCAGAUGUAACUUUUGAGUGGUAAUGACCACCACAAUGUUUGUUGUUUUAUCUGAUUGUGUUGGAUGAAUUGGUUUUACCAAUUAUUUUAUUUGGUACCAUUAGUUGGACAAAAGUUCUCUUUGGCCUAGUGUAUUCUACUCCAAGAGUGGAUUAAUGAUAUGUAUUUAUUAUUGCAAAACCAAUUAAGGGUGAAUGAGAAAUUACUGCCGAAAGAUGAACACUUGAAGUUGAAAUAAAGUGGGAAUGAAAAUUGGUGGGAAAUUGGAGAAUCCCAACCUACAUGCUAGUAGCUUGAGCCAAAACCCACAUGCGCUCUGUCGGUCGACAUGGCACCGAAAUUUUGCCCAAUUGUUUAGUCACUAUAAAAGAUCAUUUUGAAUAUAAAUUAUUGCAUCAGGUAACUAUAAUCACAACUGUUAAAUAUGAUUUUGUGUAGUAAUGACCGCCAUAAUGUUUAUUGUUUUAUCUGAUUGCACCAGGAAGCAGAAAGUUCUUCUAAGAAAAGAUUCACUCAUUUGUCAGAAGAACUAGACUUAGACGAUAGGUGGUUACCGCUUCUGGAUCAUUUGAGCACUUUUGGUCUUAAGGAAUCACAUUUUAUUCAAAUGUAUGAAAGGCAUAUGCCAUCCCUUCAGAUAAAUGUUGACUCUGCUGAGGAAAGAUUGGGAUAUUUGUUAAGUGUUGGCGUCAAACACAGAGAUAUCAGAAAAAUAAUUUUGAGACAGCCUCAAAUUUUGGGGUACACCAUCGAAAACAAUCUGAAGUCUCAUGUUGCCUUUUUGGGAAGAUUGGGCAUUCCAGAAUCGAGAAUAGGGCAAAUAAUUACUGCCACCCCAUCCAUGUUCUCUUACAGUAUUGAUAAUUCUUUAAAACCUACAGUCAAGUACCUUCUUGAGGAGAUAGGAAUCGAGAAGCAUGAUCUGAGUAAAGUUGUGCAGUUAAGCCCUCAAAUUCUGGUUCAGCGGAUAGACAAUACAUGGACUGCUCGUUUCAAUUUUCUGACAAAAGAAUUGGGAGCACCCAGAGAGAGUAUAGUAAAGAUGGUCACUAAACACCCUCAAAUACUACACUACAGCAUUGAAGAUGGAUUACGCCCCAGGAUCAAUUUCUUAAGAGGCAUUGGGAUGUGCAUCUCUGAUAUACUGAAAGUAUUAACUAGCCUUACACAGGUCAGCUGGAUUCUCUUGUGCAAUUGAUUUUGUACCUCAAACUACAAGCUCGACCAACUUGUCCUCAAAAUUGAAUCCAUGCCUUUUACCUUUUCAUACAGAUCUUGUUUUGCUUAACAUCACAAUCAAAUUAAAUUUUCAGAUGAUGCCAUCUGUGCUUGCAGGUAUUCUCUCUGUCAUUGGAGGGAAAUCUGAAACCUAAAUACAUGUACUUGAUCAAUGAACUUAAAAAUGAGGUCCAUUCCCUGACCAAAUAUCCGACAUACCUAAGCUUGUCUCUUGACCAGCGAAUUCGUCCUCGCCAUAGGUUUUUGGUUUCCUUGAAGAAAGCUCCGAAAGGGCCAUUUCCUUUGAGCUCACUGGUUCCAACUGAUGAAAACUUUUGCCACCAGUGGGCAGGAACUAGCUUAGACAAAUAUCUGGAUUUCCGGGAGAGAUUGCUGCUCAAAGAGUUUGCAAAGAAGUACGAAAGACAAUGAUUAGUUCCAUUCUCAUUCCUAGUCUACUUGGUAAUAGAUCACACACAUUACAGCAAAUUGAGAUGCAUAUACUCUUUUCCUGGGAACACUUGAAUAUUAAGGUGAGUCAGAUGUUCAUGAUAAUUGACACAUACAUUUAUAUCGAAGAAACAUGUAUAAUGUUAAUUUCUGUUUUAUAUCUGUGCUAGCUGUUUCUAAAUUUUGCUAU